AAACAGCCCCCUAUGUUUUCAUUCUUUGGCAGUUUUGGACCCCCAAGGUAAAAAAAAAAAAAUUGACACGUGGCACCUCACUUAGGGUGCCACGUCAGCGUUGACCGAGUCAACAAUGUACUGGAGGUCCAAAACUGCCAAAUAAUCAAAACAUAGAGGGCUGUUU
This 166-nucleotide microRNA precursor is filed under the name Medicago truncatula (barrel medic). Its description in RNAcentral is "MIR2619 microRNA precursor family". It matches the Rfam family "MIR2619 microRNA precursor family". The record is from Rfam by way of RNAcentral. Lineage: Eukaryota; Viridiplantae; Streptophyta; Magnoliopsida; Fabales; Fabaceae.